AUGCCUUAAACUGAUGAGUAAGGAAAAUAACGACGCGGGGUGACGCCCGUGUCCUCGCUCAAACUCGCGAGAGGAAUUUUUGAGCGGGCACAGGUCCG
This 98-nucleotide small nuclear RNA is filed under the name Sinocyclocheilus grahami. RNAcentral describes it as "U12 minor spliceosomal RNA (ENSSGRG00000003325.1)". It matches the Rfam family "U12 minor spliceosomal RNA". From Rfam's summary of the family: Although the U12 sequence is very divergent from that of U2, the two are functionally analogous. The record is from Rfam by way of RNAcentral. Lineage: Eukaryota; Metazoa; Chordata; Actinopteri; Cypriniformes; Cyprinidae.